This 497-nucleotide ribosomal RNA is filed under the name uncultured bacterium. RNAcentral's name for it is "partial 16S ribosomal RNA". It matches the Rfam family "Bacterial small subunit ribosomal RNA", at positions 28 to 507 of the family's 1533-position model. The record is from RNAcentral.
GAUGAACGCUGGCGGCGUGCCUAAUACAUGCAAGUCGAGCGAACGGACGAGAAGCUUGCUUCUCUGAUGUUAGCGGCGGACGGGUGAGUAACACGUGGAUAACCUACCUAUAAGACUGGGAUAACUUCGGGAAACCGUAGCUAAUACCGGAUAAUAUUUUGAACCGCAUGGUUCAAAAGUGAAAGACGGUCUUGCUGUCACUUAUAGAUGGAUCCGCGCUGCAUUAGCUAGUUGGUAAGGUAACGGCUUACCAAGGCAACGAUGCAUAGCCGACCUGAGAGGGUGGUCGGCCACACUGGAACUGGGACACGGUCCAGACUCCUACGGGAGGCAGCAGUAGGCAAUCUUCCGCAAUGGGCGAAAGCCUGACGGAGCAACGCCGCGUGAGUGAUGAAGGUCUUCGGAUCGUAAAACUCUGUUAUUAGGGAAGAACAGAUGUGUAAGUAACUGUGCACAGCUUGACGGUACCUAAUCAGAAAGCCACGGCUAACUACGUG